Small nuclear RNA from Monodelphis domestica (gray short-tailed opossum), 102 nucleotides. The record is from Ensembl. NCBI's taxonomy places the organism in Eukaryota, Metazoa, Chordata, Mammalia, Didelphimorphia, Didelphidae.
GUGCUUACUUUGGCAGCACAUAUAUUAAAAUUAGAAUGAAACAGAGAAGAUUAGCAUGGUCCCUGUCCAAGGAUGACAUGCAAAUUCCUGUUCCAUUUUUUU